Molecule: non-coding RNA, 22 nt
Filed under: Arabidopsis thaliana (thale cress)
Lineage: Eukaryota; Viridiplantae; Streptophyta; Magnoliopsida; Brassicales; Brassicaceae
Source: RNAcentral
UGGCUGUGUUACUUUCGGAUGC